RNAcentral lists this ribosomal RNA (433 nucleotides) under uncultured bacterium. RNAcentral's name for it is "partial 16S ribosomal RNA". It matches the Rfam family "Bacterial small subunit ribosomal RNA", at positions 29 to 507 of the family's 1533-position model. The record is from RNAcentral.
AACGAACGCUGGCGGCAUGCCUAACACAUGCAAGUCGAACGAGACCUUCGGGUCUAGUGGCGCACGGGUGCGUAACGCGUGGGAACCUGCCCUUAGGUUCGGAAUAACUCCCCGAAAGGGGGGCUAAUACCGGAUAAUGCCUUCGGACCAAAGAUUUAUCGCCUUUGGAUGGGCCCGCGUUGGAUUAGCUAGUUGGUAGGGUAAAAGCCUACCAAGGAGACGAUCCAUAGCUGGUCUGAGAGGAUGAUCAGCCACACUGGGACUGAGACACGGCCCAGACUCCUACGGGAGGCAGCAGUGGGGAAUAUUGGACCAUGGGCGAAAGCCUGAUCCAGCAAUGCCGCGUGAGUGAUGAAGGCCUUAGGGUUGUAAAGCUCUUUUACCCGGGAUGAUAAUGACAGUACCGGGAGAAUAAGCUCCGGCUAACUCCGUG